This is an RNA transcript of Quercus robur (English oak), 818 nucleotides long. It is a transcript of the gene named protein NUCLEAR FUSION DEFECTIVE 6, mitochondrial, with no coding region annotated. The record is from RefSeq and is a predicted model, not a curated record. The transcript is spliced from 5 exons. NCBI's taxonomy places the organism in Eukaryota, Viridiplantae, Streptophyta, Magnoliopsida, Fagales, Fagaceae.
ACCUUGCUGAAACCUAAAACCCCGAGAAGAAAUGCAAAACCCUUGAAACAAAAACGCAGCCACAAACCAAAACCAAAACCAAAACCAAAACCCCAGAGGCAGAGCCAUGUCAUUCGCCGCCGCCAGAGCCGCCAAGUCCGUCCUUCGAUCCACAGCGGCUCGAACCACAGUGGCAUCGAGGCUCGCUGCAGGUCCCGGAGCCAGACCCGCAAGCUCACCAUUUCGCAUCCCCAAACAAAACUCCCUCUCCAACCGCAUUUUCAGGUCGCCAGUGGAGCUGAGUUGCUGUGUGGAAUCGAUGCUUCCCUAUCACACAGCCACUGCUUCUGCAUUGCUUAAUUCAAUGCUCUCUGUCUCUCGCCGCAGCUAUGGUUGGACUCCUGAAGGGCAAGAGAAGACUAGAUGAAGAUCAAGCAUCAAAUAUGGAUUGACUUGGAUUUGUUUUUGUUGUCUACUUUGAAAGUAUUGGUGAAUGUUCUCUUCAGUAGAUUUGAUUGCAAUGAUGAUGUAUGAUGAAUGUCAGAGGGUUCGAGCGGAGUUUUAUGUACAUGCACUCUAAGGCAAGAUGGAUGAUUGUUGUUGGGGUGCAGUACAUUGAUCAUAAUUUCCAUGGAUUUCAAUGGACUUUGUAAGACUUGCUUGAGGCAUUAUUCUCCUAGACCGGAUUUGAAAAUCAAAGCAUUAAAAGUUGUUCUACAUGCACUCAGAAGUAGGUAUCAUAAUGAGAUUAGAUUGUUUUCUAUUUUCCAAAUACUAAAGUACAGUGUUAGAUGAACUCUUUUAUGUGAGUUAUGGGUGAUCCUCAUCUUCCUUGGAAA